Molecule: long non-coding RNA, 1099 nt
Filed under: Hordeum vulgare
Lineage: Eukaryota; Viridiplantae; Streptophyta; Magnoliopsida; Poales; Poaceae
Description: long non-coding RNA (HVUL_LNC018905)
Source: RNAcentral
UGCGGGGAAGAUGCCCCUCAAGACCAUCUUGGCAUCCGUAACAAGCCUAACGGUCGUGCCCCUCCUCCCUCGCCCUUCUAUACCCUCGACAGAGCUCUCCCAAGCGCCUCCCGUGGGCUCAGUCCAUGGUGCGCCUCGGUCCAGCUAUAAGAGGCCUCCCCGAGCGACCCUCUUAGCUCCCUUUGCCUCCUCUCCCUCCCGUAAGCUUCCUUGACCAGAGCCCUCUUGCUCUCGCACCCUCCUCCUCAAAUGGCCAGUAAUGCCCGCCUUGGGUCUCUCUCAAAUUCGAGCUCCCUGAUCAAUCCCUCCUCUUUUAAGCCGCACUGGAACCCCUCAAGCACAACCACCUUCCUACCCCAUGUUUCAAUCCCUCUCUCUGGUUGCUGGGACACUGAGUUCCAUGGACGCUGUUGUCAGCGUCCGUUGCGGCCGAAGCUGCACUUAUUAUGGUGCUCCCCAGCAAAAAUGAAACCUCGAGGGUGGUGCGGCUCUUUGCGCCGAGCACACCAGUGGUUGGAGCCUCACUGGAGUUGACUUGCGCUAGCGAAACGACACUCGCGCAUGGUCGGCCUUGCCUCCCCUAUCUUCACAGUGUUCGAAUGGGAGGUGGGGGACGAGCCUACAAGUGGGGCCCACUUCUAUGUGGUUGUGGCCCUCGGCCUCCUGGUUAAGUGGAGACGGUGUCAUCGAAGCACCCUUCCUGCAAACAAGGUGCCCGACAGAAAACCGCUUUCGACGUGGCCUUCAUGCACGCACGGCCAAGCACUGGGCCAGCGCAAUGUGUUGCGGGCUAAGUUGUGCUUAGUGCGGUGUUUAGCUAUUUAGUUAAUUUCUUUCUCGUUUUCUUUUUCCAGAGAGGCAAAUAAAUUCAUAGAACAUUCAUACGAUCUCCAAAAUAUGGUAAUUAAAAUUCCUAGAAGCUUAAAAAUCAUGCUUUAUCCAAUGAUUUUCACAUUUUUUCCAUGUAACAUUUUCUGCUCCACCAGCAUUUUGGCCAUUUCUCUUAUUAUAAUGCCCUAUUUGUAAAAUCCCCACAAAAUUCCAAUUAACACCAAACGAGAUGAUUCAAAUUCCUAGAUGAUUUUCAUGUCAUUCCCUA